GCAGGUGGCAAGCGUUGUCCGGAAUUAUUGGGCGUAAAGCGCGCGCAGGCGGUUCUUUAAGUCUGAUGUGAAAGCCCACGGGCUCAACCGUGGAGGGUCAUUGGAAACUGGAGAACUUGAGUACAGAAGAGGAAAGCGGAAUUCCACGUGUAGCGGUGAAAUGCGUAGAGAUGUGGAGGAACACCAGUGGCGAAGGCGGCUUUCUGGUCUGUAACUGACGCUGAGGCGCGAAAGCGUGGGGAGCAAACAGGAUUAGAUACCCUGGUAGUCCACGCCGUAAACGAUGAGUGCUAAGUGUUAGGGGGUUUCCGCCCCUUAGUGCUGCAGCUAACGCAUUAAGCACUCCGCCUGGGGAGUACGGCCGCAAGGCUG
Molecule: ribosomal RNA, 372 nt
Filed under: uncultured organism
Description: partial 16S ribosomal RNA
Rfam family: Bacterial small subunit ribosomal RNA
Source: RNAcentral